UACUCUACGGGGAGCCAGCAGUGGGGAAAUUUGCACAAUGGGGGCGGGCCUGAUGCAGCCAUGCCGCGUGAGUGAAGAAGGCCUUCGGUUUGUAAAGCUCUUUCGCGUGGAGGAAAGGGGUUGGCUAAUAUCGGCUGCCUCUGACGGUACCCUGACAAAAGCACCGGCUAACUACGUGCCCCAGCCGGGAAUUA
RNAcentral lists this ribosomal RNA (194 nucleotides) under uncultured bacterium. RNAcentral's name for it is "partial 16S ribosomal RNA". It matches the Rfam family "Bacterial small subunit ribosomal RNA", at positions 334 to 525 of the family's 1533-position model. The record is from RNAcentral.